RNAcentral lists this transfer RNA (68 nucleotides) under marine eukaryotic metagenome. It matches the Rfam family "tRNA". Rfam says of the family: Transfer RNA (tRNA) molecules are approximately 80 nucleotides in length. Their secondary structure includes four short double-helical elements and three loops (D, anti-codon, and T loops). The record is from RNAcentral.
GGGCGUAGCCAAGUGGUUAAGGCACCGGAUUGUGGUUCCGGCAUUCGGGGGUUCAAGUCCCCUCGUCC